CGAAGUAGCUCUUUUAUGAAAAGAAUUAAUUAAAUGACUACGUUUGUGAAAAGAGUUUUCCAUUGUGUAUAUUGGAAAAAAUAUAGAGAAAAAGAGAAAUGGAAGCACAAGAUCGAGGAAGGAUAGAGGUGGAAAGAUAGAGAAGUUGAGGAAAAUGUGGUAUAUCUUUUUUAUAAAAGAAAAUGAUUUUUGCUCUAUUGAAGUAACUUUGCACCAAAGUAAUGAAAUGAAAAAGAGCAUCAUGUUUGGGCGGUCUGGCUGACUCGUAACCAUCAUGUCUUUCAGAAUGCAGUUUUUUCUCCUGUUUUCACUUCUUUUCUGGUCUAGGAAUGGAUCAUCCGUCUUAAAGAGGCAGCUCGCUAUUCUGAUAGCCAGUUGUCCCAUUAGCAGAGUUCCUCCAUUCGUCCUCAUGUUCGGUUCUCGCAUUGGCUACAGGGCCUUGGCCACGAGUCUUUGGACAUUUGUCUGAUCUUUGACGGUGCUUGGGACAGUCAGAGCAAUAAUGCUGGAACGGGUAUAUUUUUCGAGUUUUGUCUUUGGACUUAGUUUUGGGAGGCGUUUCUCGGGCUUGUCAUGCUUCAUCUGCUCUUCAGGCAGAAUUACAGGCUUGUUUCACUACUACAAAAUGCGUAUUUUAGCGACGUUGUGAGCUCGACACAGUGUAGGGGGCGUCAGCUGCUUGAUAUAGUAUGCGUGUAUCCUCGACGCUUAUUUAAGUCAAAAUUUAUUUCCGACAGGUAAAAGCGUCGAGAUAUACCCACCUGCACGACACUUGACAAAUUUCUUUUGGCCCGCAUCAUGGCAUUACAUUAUAGGAUAAUAAAACCGCCGCUCUACAUACCCUAACUCUCAUAGUUUCAUCAGUUUUAAUUUUUUCAUCUUUCUCCGUACCCAGUUCUCCAAAAACACUAAGAGAUUCAUGGAAUUAGGAUUUGGAUCUGUAUUUUCAGCGUGGUUCUUAUAAAUUGGGAAGCGGAAUUUGCUUUUCUCUCAUUCCUUUGUGCUAGUUAGUAAUUAUUCAAAGAGUAGCAAUUGGGGUUCAGAUUCAAUCCUUAGUGGUUGAGCUAGGUUAUUUUCCUCCCUUUACAGAUCUGGUCUUCACUUUUUGAGUAAUGCCUGUCCUUAUUAUGCCGUAUUAUUUUGCUAGAUACAACGUUGUUUUAGAGGUCAAUGAAUUUAUCCAUGUUAGAAUUUCUUCUUUUUUUUUUUCUUCUGUUAUUUUGCUUUUUAUAAUUGUUGUGGUUUAAUUUUGAUGUCAAAUUGGCCAUUUUGUUUCAAUUUUUGCUUAAUUUCUGAUCUGAUUGAGUAAAUAAGUGGGGUUUUGUAUUUUUAUUUUUUUGUACGAUUUGCUAUGAAUUUUUUUUGGAGUAAUUGGUUGGUUUCUUAAUUGCAAAGUUCUUAUUGUUUAAACAGAAUGGGGAAUUUGGCUAUUUUCUUGAAUUUAUGGUUGUUACUUUAACUUUUUAUUUUAUUCUCUUCUUUAGGAAGUAAUUACAUACAAGUAUUACGGGAGUAGUACUUAGUAUCUUACUCAGUCCCAAAAAAUUAAAUAAUUGGAGUUACUGAGAUGGAUUGGUGUGAGUAUUAGUGUGUGACUAAACCAUUUUAAACCUUAUUUUUUGUUAUUUUGGGAAGCUUAAGUAUCAACUGAUAUUUCCAAAUAAAAAACAAUGCAAGCUAGAUUAAAUAUUAAACCCCUUUUAACAUCUAAAAGACUGAAACCUUAAGUUAUUUAUAAGAAAUCAAACCUGUCUUUUGGGUAGGAACAUUUUUUCUAGAGUGACAAGAGAAGCCUCCUAGUUAUGUUGGAUUACUUUUUGUGGGAGAUCAUAUCUGUUAUGUGGUUGUGUCGGUGUUUUAGAUUUUUCAACAAUUAGAUUUUUUUUUUUUAGAUUUGUCGUAGUACUAAUUUUAGUUGCCUUGAGCUGCAGUUUUGUUUGUCUUAAAAUGAUAUACCUGCAGUUGAUAUUAUCCCAUAAUCCCUUCAUAAAAGAUAUAUAUCUUGAAAAGUUAUCCAAUCUAGGCUCAAGAAUUUCUAGAUUUGGAAUUGUGUGCUAGAAGUUGUGCCUUUUGGAAAUUUCAGUGGUCUGCUGCCAUGGUUCUAUCGCAGCGGGGAUGUUUAUUGCUCUCUUAAAGCCUAUGCGGGUUUAUUGCUUUGAGUUGGGGUGUGUUUGCUUAAAUGAAUACUUUGGCUUUACUUAAACAUGAAGUGGCUAAAUUUAAGUUGGGUGGGCUUCCUAAGAUGAUAAGUAGGUGCUUUGCCCGCGUUAAGGUCUUUAUUAUGUCUCCUGCCACACGAGCAACAAUUGUUUUUGGAAUCUAGAUCAUCUGUGUGUCCUUUCUCUUUCUUGUUUCUUUCUUUCAUAAUAUAGGACCUGAGAUGCAACUAUAAAAACUACGAAGCAGGUUUCUCAAACUUGCAUUGUUUUAUAAUCGAUGGAACUCUUGAUUUCCUACAUCAGUAUGUAUUUGGCAGCAUGAAGUACUUUAGUGUUGUGGACUAAGAAUUUCAGUACUCUUAGCUUCAGCAAUGAAGCCAGAGGUAACUAGUGUUAGAAACCUUGUUAUGCAGCUGGUUACCUUUUUUAUUACAAAUCUGUAGUCUGUCUUUUAAAUCUAAUAUAAUUUGUCUUGUCGGGACUAUAAUCCACUAACUAGAAACAUGUUUUAUUCAACCAACAAAAAUAUAUGGCAAAUUUUAACUUCCGGCUCUAACAUGCUUGUUAUUGAUGCAGGAUGUUAUGACUAUUAUAUGUGUCAAGUCUACAAAUUAAUCAAGUCAUUCCAUGAAGACAUUAAAUUAGCUCCAAUUCAAUAGAGAGAAGUUGCGUGUUUUUCGAAAUAAUUGUAGUAUUGCAACUACGCAUUUUUAUUUAAUGUUAGCAGUUUAAGAGAUCGAAUGUCUUGUAAAUGAAUAUUAGUUUAAUAAUGUUAGAAUAUAAUCAUAGUUUUUUGCAUUA
Long non-coding RNA from Chenopodium quinoa (quinoa), 2960 nucleotides. RefSeq lists it as uncharacterized. The transcript has 2 exons. The record is from RefSeq and is a predicted model, not a curated record. Lineage: Eukaryota; Viridiplantae; Streptophyta; Magnoliopsida; Caryophyllales; Amaranthaceae.